GUAUUGGUGAUUCAGCAGUAGAAUGCUCACCUUCCAUGCAGGAGACCCUGGUUCUAUUCUAGGCCAAAUCA
This 71-nucleotide transfer RNA is filed under the name Loxodonta africana (African savanna elephant). It matches the Rfam family "tRNA". From Rfam's summary of the family: Transfer RNA (tRNA) molecules are approximately 80 nucleotides in length. Their secondary structure includes four short double-helical elements and three loops (D, anti-codon, and T loops). Lineage: Eukaryota; Metazoa; Chordata; Mammalia; Proboscidea; Elephantidae. The record is from Rfam by way of RNAcentral.